RNAcentral lists this ribosomal RNA (898 nucleotides) under uncultured Bacteroidota bacterium. RNAcentral describes it as "bacterial SSU rRNA". It matches the Rfam family "Bacterial small subunit ribosomal RNA", at positions 1 to 892 of the family's 1533-position model. The record is from RNAcentral. Lineage: Bacteria; Pseudomonadati; Bacteroidota.
GGAUCCAGACUUUGAUUCUGGCUCAGGAUGAACGCUAGCUACAGGCUUAACACAUGCAAGUCGAGGGGCAGCAUGAACUUAGCUUGCUAAGUUUGAUGGCGACCGGCGCACGGGUGAGUAACACGUAUCCAACCUUCCGUUUACUCAGGGAUAGCCUUUCGAAAGAAAGAUUAAUACCUGAUAGUAUGGUGAGAUUGCAUGAUAGCACCAUUAAAGAUUUAUUGGUAAACGAUGGGGAUGCGUUCCAUUAGGUAGUAGGCGGGGUAACGGCCCACCUAGCCGACGAUGGAUAGGGGUUCUGAGAGGAAGGUCCCCCACAUUGGAACUGAGACACGGUCCAAACUCCUACGGGAGGCAGCAGUGAGGAAUAUUGGUCAAUGGGCGAGAGCCUGAACCAGCCAAGUAGCGUGAAGGAUGAAGGUCCUACGGAUUGUAAACUUCUUUUAUACGGGAAUAAAGUAUCCUACGUGUAGGAUUUUGUAUGUACCGUAUGAAUAAGCAUCGGCUAACUCCGUGCCAGCAGCCGCGGUAAUACGGAGGAUGCGAGCGUUAUCCGGAUUUAUUGGGUUUAAAGGGAGCGCAGACGGGAGAUUAAGUCAGUUGUGAAAGUUUGCGGCUCAACCGUAAAAUUGCAGUUGAUACUGGUUUCCUUGAGUGCAGUUGAGGCAGGCGGAAUUCGUGGUGUAGCGGUGAAAUGCUUAGAUAUCACGAAGAACCCCGAUUGCGAAGGCAGCUUGCUAAACUGUAACUGACGUUCAUGCUCGAAAGUGUGGGUAUCAAACAGGAUUAGAUACCCUGGUAGUCCACACGGUAAACGAUGGAUACUCGCUGUUGGCGAUAUACUGUCAGCGGCCAAGCGAAAGCAUUAAGUAUCCCACCUGGGGAGUACGCCGGCAAC